GAUGAACGCUGGCGGCGUGCCUAAUACAUGCAAGUCGAGCGAACGGACGAGAAGCUUGCUUCUCUGAUGUUAGCGGCGGACGGGUGAGUAACACGUGGAUAACCUACCUAUAAGACUGGGAUAACUUCGGGAAACCGGAGCUAAUACCGGAUGAUAUUUUGAACCGCAUGGUUCAAAAGUGAAAGACGGUCUUGCUGUCACUUAUAAAUGGAUCCGCGCUGCAUUAGCUAGUUGGUAAGGUAACGGCUUACCAAGGCAACGAUGCAUAGCCGACCUGAGAGGGUGAUCGGCCACACUGGAACUGAGACACGGUCCAGACUCCUACGGGAGGCAGCAGUAGGGAAUCUUCCGCAAAGGGCGAAAGCCUGACGGAGCAACGCCGCGUGAGUGAUGAAGGUCUUCGGAUCGUAAAACUCUGUUAUUAGGGAAGAACAUAUGUGUAAGUAACUGUGCACAUCUUGACGGUACCUAAUCAGAAAGCCACGGCUAACUACGUG
RNAcentral lists this ribosomal RNA (497 nucleotides) under uncultured bacterium. RNAcentral describes it as "partial 16S ribosomal RNA". It matches the Rfam family "Bacterial small subunit ribosomal RNA", at positions 28 to 507 of the family's 1533-position model. The record is from RNAcentral.